Molecule: ribosomal RNA, 253 nt
Filed under: uncultured bacterium
Lineage: Bacteria
Description: partial 16S ribosomal RNA
Rfam family: Bacterial small subunit ribosomal RNA
Source: RNAcentral
UACGUAGGUGGCGAGCGUUGUCCGGAUUUACUGGGCGUAAAGGGAGCGUAGGCGGACUUUUAAGUGAGAUGUGAAAUACCCGGGCUCAACUUGGGUGCUGCAUUUCAAACUGGAAGUCUAGAGUGCAGGAGAGGAGAAUGGAAUUCCUAGUGUAGCGGUGAAAUGCGUAGAGAUUAGGAAGAACACCAAUGGCGAAGGCGAUUCUCUGGACUGUAACUGACGCUGAGGCUCGAAAGCGUGGGGAGCAAACAGG